RNAcentral lists this ribosomal RNA (393 nucleotides) under uncultured bacterium. RNAcentral's name for it is "partial 16S ribosomal RNA". It matches the Rfam family "Bacterial small subunit ribosomal RNA", at positions 523 to 918 of the family's 1533-position model. The record is from RNAcentral.
AUACGUAGGUGGCAAGCGUUGUCCGGAUUUAUUGGGCGUAAAGCGAGCGCAGGCGGUUUCUUAAGUCUGAUGUGAAAGCCCGCGGCUCAACUGCGGGACUGCAUUGGACACUGGUCAUCUGGAGUGCAGGAGGGGUAAGCGGAAUUCCUAGUGUAGCGGUGAAAUGCGUAGAUAUUAGGAGGAACACCGGUGGCGAAGGCGGCUUACUGGACUGUAACUGACGUUGAGGCUCGAAAGCGUGGGGAGCAAACAGGAUUAGAUACCCUGGUAGUCCACGCAGUAAACGAUGAUGGCUAACCGCUGGUUUAUUCGGAUCAGUGGCCAAGCGAAAGCGAUAAGCCAUCCACCUGGGGAGUACGACCGCAAGGUUGAAACUCAAAGGAAUUGACGGGG